RNAcentral lists this long non-coding RNA (1110 nucleotides) under Helianthus annuus (common sunflower). Its description in RNAcentral is "hypothetical non coding rna". Lineage: Eukaryota; Viridiplantae; Streptophyta; Magnoliopsida; Asterales; Asteraceae. The record is from RNAcentral.
UAUACGGGACUUUCAAAACCCUAAGAUGAUUAAUGUCAUAAGUAGUACGACAUAUUAGUAUGUCGGAUAUUCAUUGUCAUGAAUACUAUGUCAACUUUUUAGUAAAAAAAAAAAAUAAAUAAACAAAAAAAAAAUAAAGAUGUAAUAUUCUAUAAUAAUAAUUAUCAUAGUAAUAUCUUAUAAAAAAAAAGGAAAUUUAAAUUAUAUUACCAACUAAAUGUAUUGAUAAAUGGCAAUUGUAUUGUGAGUUCUACAACCGUCAAAAAAAAAAAAAAAAAAGAAAAAUAGUGAAACCAAAAUAUGAAAAUAACAAUAAUAAUAAAGUAAUAGUAAGCAAAUCACAAUUCAAAUUUGGGUUCAACCCCAUACUCAGUGUCUUGAAACCGAAGGUAAGAAAAAAAAAAUAAUAAUAAAUUUGAAAUGAGUUAAAUAUGGAGUAAUUGUACAGCACAUCUUUUUUUUCAAAAAUAAAAAUGAUUUCCAUAUCUCCGACAUUAUUUACGUUGCUUUCCAUUCUAAUAAUUCUGUUACACAAUUCAUGGGAUUUGGAAUCCCUUUAAACGAUCAGCUAUAUUAAUCGAUCUCGCCAAUUCAUUCCGAACCUUGUUUGCUCCCUCUCGUUCUACCUUCCGACCACCUGUUAUAGUACCGACGAAAUCGCCUCCGCCAACCACAAGUGUAAACCUAUCUCGCUGGUCCGUUUCGCUUACGGUUCGUCCAAUUGGAGCCGCAACAGAACUGCCAAACACCACUACCACGUUGAUCGAGUUUAUGGUUCUGUCAUUCGCUUCCGCUCAUACCGACAGCCAAUAAACUCCGAGCCCCAUCACACAACCGUUUUUGUUCGUGUCCGAUUGCAGCAAGCUGCCACCCAUUGCUCUCGUAUCCAUCUCGCUUGGCGACUAAGGGUUUCGUGACAUUUGAUUUGAGCUUAGGAUUUACUACAGUCAUCGCUAAUUGCUUAAGGUACUCAGGGAAAUCGGGGAAAUGUGUGAAGAGUGAUAAUAAAAAGCUAGAGUUGGAACAAGGAGUUUAAUAAAACCUUAUAUUCAAUAAAUUUAGACACUUAUGUUUUUCUGUUGAGACCGUUAUGCCAUUUUGGAAUUUUAG